RNAcentral lists this ribosomal RNA (2871 nucleotides) under Triticum aestivum (bread wheat). Its description in RNAcentral is "partial small subunit ribosomal RNA". The record is from RNAcentral. Lineage: Eukaryota; Viridiplantae; Streptophyta; Magnoliopsida; Poales; Poaceae.
AAAAAAGGAAGAAGAGGAUGAUACGUAACGGCGUGACGGAAAGAAAAAGCGGGAGCGAAUAGACAGAGAGGGGGCCCGGCCGUCACGUCGUCUUCCUCCUCGCUCCAUUAGAGCCGAGCUCUCGGGUCUCCGCCUCUGCUCGCCUCCCACUGUUAUCGGAGGCGCUGCGGACGAAGCAGCGGCACUAUGCGUCCGUCCCUCUGUCAUGUUCCUUUUCUUCUUCUGCUACUAUUACAUGUGGUCAUUGCUAGACCAUUCUUUCCACUGCCAAGUAAGACCAGUAAUGAAGAGAAGAAGCCCAUACAGACAUUUCGACCGUAUAACAUUGCUCACCGUGGCUCAAACGGGGAAAUCCCAGAGGAAACAAGUGCUGCUUACCUGAGGGCUAUUGAAGAAGGUGCAGAUUUUAUAGAGACUGACAUCCUUGCUAGCAAAGAUGGUGCAUUGAUCUGCUUUCAUGAUGUAACACUUGAUGAUACAACUGAUAUUUCCGGCCGUAAGGAAUUCGCCAAUCGAAGGAGAACCUAUGAGGUGGAAUGGGCCAACGUUACUGGCUGGUUUGUAGUGGAUUUCACGCUUGAGGAACUUAAAACACUUAAAGUGAAGCAGCGAUACUCAUUCAGAGAUCAACAAUAUAAUGGCAAAUUUUCAAUCAUCACAUUUGAAGAAUUCAUUUCAGUUGCCUUAGAUGCAAGCAGAACCGUUGGAAUAUAUCCAGAGAUAAAAGAUCCAGUUUUUAUCAACAAGCAUGUAAAGUGGGCAGAUGGAAAGAAGUUUGAGGACAAAUUUGUGGAUACCUUACUAAAGUAUGGAUACAGGGGUCAAUAUAUGUCCGAAAAUUGGCUAAAACAGCCAUUGUUUAUACAAUCAUUUGCUCCCUCUUCCCUUGUACAUGUAUCAAAUUUGACAGACUCUCCGAAGAUCUUUCUGAUUGAUGAUACCACAGUGAGAACUCAAGACACAAACCAGUCAUACUGGGAAAUCACUUCAGAUGACUACCUUGCAUAUAUUAGUAACUAUGUUGUCGGCCUCGGUCCAUGGAAAGAUACUAUUGUUCCAGUUGCAAAAAACUAUUUGCUGGAACCAACUGAUCUUGUUGCAAGAGCGCAUGCUCAUAAUCUCCAGGUACACCCUUACACAUACAGGAACGAGAACCAGUUUCUGCACUUCGACUUUCAUCAGGAUCCCUAUGCCGAGUUCGAUUUCUGGAUAAAUACGAUGGGGGUUGACGGAUUAUUCACAGAUUUCGCUGGAAGCGUACACAAGUACCAAGAACUGAAAUCUCCACACCCGAAGGACGCAACCGCGAACAGCCUCCUAGUAAAAAUUGCUCAGUUGAUCGCGGCAUACGAAGGCCACUGAAUAAGUCUGUUCCAGCAAAAUCACUGCCAUUUUCAGUGAUGAUGCGCAAGACCCAAAUGAGUUGACAUUUGACGACCCGCAGUGACCUGGAAAGGUCACUAAUAGAUGUUGGUUUACGCUGUUAUAUAGUGUUAACACGAGUUCAUGUAUACCUCUUCAUUGAACCCCUGAAUCUCAAGGGGGAGAUCUUUAUUAUCGCAAUAACCAUUUUUUUCCGGAAGGUUUCCACACGAAAUUUAAUGGUUGACGUAUAGCUCAUCCGAUGGGAUAUCGUUUCAACAAUCUCCCAAGUUGGGGCGUUCAUAUGUACAAGUGGAAUUGGUGUUGAAAUGCUAAAAGUUAGUGUUGACAGUUGACCUGUGGUUCAGGUAAAUAGGCAUCAGCUGUCUGCAACUUGUGCCCUGUUGUAAGUAGCUGACCACUUGAUCUGGCAGCCGCAGCCACAGCCCCAGCGUGUGUUUGUUGGUGGCUGCGCGCUCCCUGUCAAUUGUUGAUAAUUUUAUAAGGAACCGGUCUGCUCUUGGCUUUUGGAUGGAUGUUUCCCUCACCAAUCUCGAUGCAGGGGCAGGGGAGGAUAAGCUGGACAGAGCCCAACGGAGUUGUAUCGGGCGAGCCAUUGAAGGAUAAAGAAGAUUUGAGGCCACACAGCUCCAGCAGCGGAAGGAUGGAGGCUGCGGCCCUGGCCCGGCUGCCGGAAUAUGCCUCCACCACGGCCCCGCUCACCGGCAAAAGAUGGUCGUUGCCCCGUGCCCAGAGGCGAUCGCCCAGGGCGGCAGCACUGGCGCCCGGAGUCGCGAGCUUCUCCAGCGCAUCUCCCACUACGAGACCACCGAGAAUUCAACGCCGAGGCCCCGGGACAAAGUGUGCGGGGCGCAGGAGGCGGGCGGACAUCCAGUCGGACACGUACGUGCUGCUGGAGCCCGGGAUGGACGAGGAGUUCGUGUCCAAGGAGGAGCUGGAGGUUCGGCUGCGGGGGUGGCUGGAGAGGUGGCCGGGGGGCGCGCUGCCGCCGGACCUCGCGAGGUUCGACACGGUGGACGACGCCGUCUCGUACCUCGUCCGGUCGGUGUGCGAGCUCGAGGUCGACGGCGAGGUGGGCUCCGUGCAGUGGUACCAGGUCCAGAUCGAAUGAAUAGCUAGAGCUAGAAGUACCAUCCGACCAAUGCUGCGUGACUGCAUGUGUAUGUGGUUCGAACUUCGAAGGGACGAAAUUUUGGCCUGAGAUAUAUAGGGCCCUUUGGCGCCCGUGGACCGCGAACGUGAGUAAUAGUACUUUCGGAGAAAUUGAACCGUGUUAUUAGACAAAUCGUUUGCUGUUGCGUGCGGAGAGCUCGCAGGGCCCGACGGCCAGAGAAACCAAUAGUUUUGUUUUGAUACGGACGUGGAGGGACGUUAUUGUAGCCCCAGAAAUGAACAAACAAUAGAGUAAGAAGAUGAUUCGUGUCCAUGUGAGGUCACGGCCAGGCGGUCAGCGGAAGCCGGUCGGUCAGUCCAGUGCGAAAGCUCGCC